CCUACGGGAGGCAGCAGUGAGGAAUAUUGGUCAAUGGACGAGAGUCUGAACCAGCCAAGUAGCGUGAAGGAUGACUGCCCUAUGGGUUGUAAACUUCUUUUAUAUGGGAAUAAAAUGUUCCACGUGUGGGAUUUUGUAUGUACCAUAUGAAUAAGGAUCGGCUAACUCCGUGCCAGCAGCCGCGGUAAUACGGAGGAUCCGAGCGUUAUCCGGAUUUAUUGGGUUUAACGGGAGCGUAGGUGGAUUGUUAAGUCAGUUGUGAAAGUUUGCGGCUCAACCGGAAAAUUGCAGUUGAAACUGGCAGUCUUGAGUACAGUAGAGGUGAGCGGAAGUCGUGGUGUAGCGGUGAAAUGCUUAGAUAUCACGAAGAACUCCGAUUGCGAAGGCAGUUCACUGGACUGCAACUGACGCUGAGGCUCGAAAGUGUGGGUAUCAAACAGGAUUAGAUACCCUAGUAGUC
Molecule: ribosomal RNA, 460 nt
Filed under: uncultured bacterium
Lineage: Bacteria
Description: partial 16S ribosomal RNA
Rfam family: Bacterial small subunit ribosomal RNA
Source: RNAcentral